GGCAUAUAAUUCAGCGCAUCCUGGACAUAAGCAGACAGAUAAGUAAUCCAGUGAAAAAUACUCCUUACAAAGUAUCAAAAUGUAAGGUAAAAGAAAAGAGGUGAUGUAGCUUUUGUCAUACAAGAUGUGUCUGUACAGCAGUGACUGCAGCUCAGCAAUGCUACCUGGUCUACCUCUGAACUAGUGUCCUCAGGCUUCCUAGCAAGACAGCUCUACAAGCAAAUAAUUUAGUAAAGGUAAAAAGUCAGGGUAUUUUUCAGGUUUUUUGACCUGACUAUCUUGAACUGUGAGGCUCCUGCAUAACCAGUAUAGUGACUGUGAUGCCUGUGCUAGCUAGCCUGUUUGGGGGUGGGUAAAGCAACACAAGCUGCAGUCAUAGACAUACAUGUGUUGUGUCCUAGCCAGAUGUUGACCUCAAAGCUCUGAGCUGUGAAGGCACUAGAGGUAUACUGCAGUUUCAAUGAUAAAAAUCUGUGAGUGGAUGCCUGAUAAUUGGCUAACUACCUCAUAAAUAACAGAAGAGUUUAAAGAUCACUUUUAGAUUUGAGGAAGCAUUAUGAAAAACAGCAUUAAUGUUAGAUAGGUUUCUGAACUUUAAAAAGUGCAGUCUAUAUUUGUUAUCUUGCCCAUUACCCGUAGGUGCUAGAAAUGUAUUUCCUGUCAGGCUCAACAGCUAUAAUGGUGACUCUUGCACUAUCUAGCAGAUCUCACCAUAAAGUUCUCUGCUAUAGACAGUGGCAAGAUGAUGAAUCUGUGCAAGAUUUCUAAUGAGAUUGCCUGAAACCUUGUUUUACUAUUGUUGCCUUGGUCCUGAUCUGGUUAACUACUCUUUAAGUUAGGGAAACACUAGUCCCAUACUCUCAGCUAAUUAGACACAAGGAACGGGUUUAUAUGAAUUAAAAGUAUGCCAGGGUUUUGAUUAAGUCAGAUAUUCACGGAAGUCUCAGGUUUUUUUCAUAGUAUAAUCCGGUGGCCUGUAAAAGUUCAGCCUUUAAGGAUUUUCCUUUUGAUUACUUUUUCAGAAUGAAAGAAUGGAAGAAUUUUGCCUGAACUGCACAAUGUUAUGCCUUUUCCUGAUGCCAGUGGCUUUGAGUGGGGGCCCUGAUCUCCCAAACACUUUGGUUUUCUUAUGUUCCCCAAUUCUGAAAACCUGUCAAGCAUACAGCCAGGGAGGGUUGGAGAGCACUUACUCCAGUUUCAAGCAGAAGAGAAUCUUAAAACUUCAAGGAUCAGAACACCAGAGCAUCUUCAUUGACAAGUCAGUGCUUCCUGUAACAGAAGGAUAUAAAUCUGUGCCAUAAGGAGUGGAAGAAGAAAAAAUAUUUAACUGUUAUGUGACUGUAACAGUUACAAUGACCGUCUGUAUAAAUAGUAUACGUGAAUCAACUUUCCAAGAUGACCCUCCAAGGAGUGCACAAAAGAGCUCUGGAGAGCUUGAGGGUGGUAUGGGCAGCCUGCCCUGAGAAGCACCCUAUCUUGCCAUGGGCUGAGCCCAUGACCUGCCUGCACAUGUUGUGAUACCUCUUCCCCUGGGGCUACUCUGCAUGCCACGGGGCUGUGAACCACACUGCAGGUGCCAAGCAUCUCUACAGGUGGAGAAAAAUCCCAGGGAAGCAGGGUAAAAGCACAGACUUCUGCAAGAAUGCAUGCUGUUCCCUACCCAUUUCAUGCAUCCUGCUGUGCAGCCCAAUCAAAGCCCCACUUAGGAGGAACAGUGCUAAUCCUGGAUCUCUUGUUCCCAUCAGCAUGCAUCAACCAGUCGGGCUGCUGCUGAUGUGGGGAGGCACAGCUCUACCUUCUUUGCUCCUGAGCACUUUCUGCUGCUGGCUUUGCUUGUCUACUUGCUGUUUAUAGUAAGGACUCCUUAGAGAUGUAAACUCAUUAAUCACACCCAAGCCACACUUCCCUGGUUCCACUUAUAGCGUCUUCCCUCUCUAUUCCUUUUCACAGCUCCCACCUUAGUCAGUACUCAGUUCUUGGCAUCUGGGCUUUGUUUUUAUUUAAGCUUGAAACCGAUAAAGCGUGAGAAAAGGGGAAAAUUCAGAAAGGCAGACCAAUAUAAUAAGCAAAGUGUAUGUAGGGUACAUUUAAUGUUAGACUACUUGGCCUAAAGUGUAUGGGCAGAAGACUGGCAGCAAAGCUAUUGCAUUAAUUGAAAUAGAGACCAUUUACCCUAAAAAGUUAAAAGGCACAGGACAGACAAACAGGAGCCCUUUCAUCCUCUUGGGACUUCUUGUGUCCUGCCAGCAGCUGAGAUUGCUUUCCUGCCCUUAGCACUGGUCAGUCCAGUGCUGAUCCUUGGCCACCAGCCUGGCUGGGAGUCCCAUGGGCAGCCCACAAGAGGAGGGGAAGUGACAUGAAAUCUAAAAGUCUUUGCAGAGGUAUUUAGGUGCCUGAAGGUGCAGAGAGGCACUUAGUAGCCUUUCGGAAAUUCCUCAGGAGAUUGGAGGGAGAGAGGAGGAAAAUUCCCAUCUCGGGAAUUGAGUUUGAAGAGCCUGACCCACCUCAAGGCCUUGGAAAACCUCACCAGGCACCUCUCUUCAUGUCUAGACUCUUAAAUAUCUUGGAAAAUCUGCUCCAAAGUGGUUAUUACUUCUUUUGAGCAGUUUCUGCCUGCCCAAGGCUGGGAACAGAGUCUCAGCAGAAUCCCUUCUUGCUGUGUGAAGCUGCUGCCAUACCACUACAGUGUGAGUGAUGUACAGAUCCCAGGGAAGACAUUACUCCAGCAGCAUGUUUCUAGCUGACAUUGAUUUGCAAUAGGGCUGUCAACAGCAGCUAGAGACCCCUGAUCCUGGAAAACAAUAUGUCAGUUGCCUGGGUUGGUUUUAAUUCUUUAAUCCUUUGUCUGCAACCUAACAUGUUGCAGCAUUGCUUAGAGAUGAGAUGUGCCACUGCUGCUGCUUUACUCUUGCUGUUUUGGAG
Molecule: long non-coding RNA, 2922 nt
Organism: Harpia harpyja (harpy eagle)
Lineage: Eukaryota; Metazoa; Chordata; Aves; Accipitriformes; Accipitridae
Exons: 6
Source: RefSeq, a predicted model, not a curated record